UAGACAGCCCCUAAGGCGAGGCCGAAAGGCGUAGUCGAUGGGAAACGGGUUAAUAUUCCCGUACUUGGUGUUACUGCGAAGGGGGGACGGAGAAGGCUAUGUUGGCCGGGCGACGGUUGUCCCGGUUUAAGCGUGUAGGCUGGUUUUCCAGGCAAAUCCGGAAAAUCAAGGCUGAGGCGUGAUGACGAGGCACUACGGUGCUGAAGCAACAAAUGCCCUGCUUCCAGGAAAAGCCUCUAAGCAUCAGGUAACAUCAAAUCGUACCCCAAACCGACACAGGUGGUCAGGUAGAGAAUACCAAGGCGCUUGAGAGAACUCGGGUGAAGGAACUAGGCAAAAUGGUGCCGUAACUUCGGGAGAAGGCACGCUGACACGUAGGUGAAGUGAUUUACUCAUGGAGCUGAAGUCAGUCGAAGAUACCAGCUGGCUGCAACUGUUUAUUAAAAACACAGCACUGUGCAAACACGAAAGUGGACGUAUACGGUGUGACGCCUGCCCGGUGCCGGAAGGUUAAUUGAUGGGGUCAGCGCAAGCGAAGCUCCUGAUCGAAGCCCCGGUAAACGGCGGCCGUAACUAUAACGGUCCUAAGGUAGCGAAAUUCCUUGUCGGGUAAGUUCCGACCUGCACGAAUGGCGUAAUGAUGGCCAGGCUGUCUCCACCCGAGACUCAGUGAAAUUGAACUCGCUGUGAAGAUGCAGUGUACCCGCGGCAAGACGGAAAGACCCCGUGAACCUUUACUAUAGCUUGACACUGAACAUUGAGCCUUGAUGUGUAGGAUAGGUGGGAGGCUUUGAAGUGUGGACGCCAGUCUGCAUGGAGCCGACCUUGAAAUACCACCCUUUAAUGUUUGAUGUUCUAACGUGGACCCGUUACCCGGGUUGCGGACAGUGUCUGGUGGGUAGUUUGACUGGGGCGGUCUCCUCCUAAAGAGUAACGGAGGAGCACGAAGGUUGGCUAAUCCUGGUCGGACAUCAGGAGGUUAGUGCAAUGGCAUAAGCCAGCUUGACUGCGAGCGUGACGGCGCGAGCAGGUGCGAAAGCAGGUCAUAGUGAUCCGGUGGUUCUGAAUGGAAGGGCCAUCGCUCAACGGAUAAAAGGUACUCCGGGGAUAACAGGCUGAUACCGCCCAAGAGUUCAUAUCGACGGCGGUGUUUGGCACCUCGAUGUCGGCUCAUCACAUCCUGGGGCUGAAGUAGGUCCCAAGGGUAUGGCUGUUCGCCAUUUAAAGUGGUACGCGAGCUGGGUUUAGAACGUCGUGAGACAGUUCGGUCCCUAUCUGCCGUGGGCGCUGGAGAACUGAGGGGGGCUGCUCCUAGUACGAGAGGACCGGAGUGGACGCAUCACUGGUGUUCGGGUUGUCAUGCCAAUGGCACUGCCCGGUAGCUAAAUGCGGAAGAGAUAAGUGCUGAAAGCAUCUAAGCACGAAACUUGCCCCGAGAUGAGUUCUCCCUGAGACUUAGAGUCUCCUGAAGGAACGUUGAAGACGACGACGUUGAUAGGCCGGGUGUGUAAGCG
This 1514-nucleotide ribosomal RNA is filed under the name Salmonella enterica subsp. enterica serovar Bovismorbificans. Its description in RNAcentral is "partial 23S ribosomal RNA". It matches the Rfam family "Bacterial large subunit ribosomal RNA", at positions 1381 to 2875 of the family's 2925-position model. Lineage: Bacteria; Pseudomonadati; Pseudomonadota; Gammaproteobacteria; Enterobacterales; Enterobacteriaceae. The record is from RNAcentral.